GCAGCCCCCGUAAUACGUAGGUGGCCAGCGUUUUCUGGAAUUAUUGGGCGUAAAGGGCUCGCAGGCGGUUUUUUAAGUUUGAUGUGAAAGCCCCCGGCUCAACCGUGGAGGGUCAUUGGAAACUGGGCAACUUGAGUGCAGAAGAGGAGAGUGGAAUUCCAUGUGUAGCGGUGAAAUGCGUAGAGAUUUGGAGGAACACCAGUGGCGAAGGCGACUCUCUGGUCUGUAACUGACCCUGAGGAGCGAAAGCGUGGGGAGCCAACAGGAUUAGAUACCCUGGUAGUUCACGCCGUAAACGAUGAGUGCUAAGUGUUAGGGGGUUUCCGCCCGUUAGUGCUGCAGCUAACGCA
Molecule: ribosomal RNA, 350 nt
Filed under: Bacillus sp. AF8-GT
Lineage: Bacteria; Bacillati; Bacillota; Bacilli; Caryophanales; Bacillaceae
Description: bacterial SSU rRNA
Rfam family: Bacterial small subunit ribosomal RNA
Source: RNAcentral